Molecule: unclassified non-coding RNA, 897 nt
Filed under: Hevea brasiliensis (rubber tree)
Lineage: Eukaryota; Viridiplantae; Streptophyta; Magnoliopsida; Malpighiales; Euphorbiaceae
Source: RNAcentral
GUAAGGCAAAUCAUCUUCAGACAUGGCAAGAAGACGACCGUCGAAGUAAACCAACCCAGCGUUAGCAACACCAGUCCCAUGGCUAGGAUCAACAAUACCAAAAAGCCCACGAGCAUAGAAUAGCAACAGCCUAGCUAUCCCAGAGUGGCCAUGGAGCUCACCGAUGGCCUUGGGGAAAACUGGACGUCCCAAUUCUUUCUCUUGAACCAGCCGGUUUGUCUCCGUGAAGCGGCAAGCAUAACUCACGGACCCAUUCUCAAACCGGACAGCAUGAACCAUCCCAUCACCGUCAAAAAAGUGGUGUCCAGCCACCGGCUCGUGAAGCGGGUUUGCUCCGUUUCGAAGAUAAACACCUCGAAUGCUAUCUGGGAUUUUCCCGGUAACGGGCAAAUUAUGUACAACGGGUUGCUCCGGCACGGGAGCGAAGUUGCCGGAGAUUUGGACCGUUGGGUUAGCAGUUUUGGGAAGAGGGUAUCGACGUUCAUGUAAAACUAAAGCAGUCUCCACAACAUCUAAGGCCAAAGCUGCAGCUCUCUGUAAAAAGUUCCAUUGCUUUGGCUCUUGUGCCAAUGAUUUAUCAACCGAAGGAGGAGAAGGAGUAAUUUUCUUAGGAUUUCUUGUGGAAAUAGAAGGUGAGGGAGGAUAAGUAGUGGUUCUUGUGGAUUGUUUAGGAAAAUGGAGAAUGGAAGGAGUAUGGAGAGAGCAAGAGAUGUAAGGCUUUCUACUAGGCAUGUCAAGAGAGGCCAUGCUUAUAGCAGAUGCAGGAGGCGAUGAAGAAGACAUGGUUGUGUAAUUGAGAUUAAUGUAUAAGUUUGAGGUGUUUAGUUGGGCCUGGAAGAGUUGAAGAGGAGAGAAAAGAGUGAGUUAGGUGAAGACAAGCAAAAGGCUAUGGCUGUU